AGAACGAACGCUGGCGGCAUGCCUAACACAUGCAAGUCGAACGAUGCUUUCGGGCAUAGUGGCGCACGGGUGCGUAACGCGUGGGAAUCUGCCUUUCGGUACGGAAUAACUCAGGGAAACUUGUGCUAAUACCGUAUGAUGUCGCGAGACCAAAGAUUUAUCGCCGAGAGAUGAGCCCGCGUAGGAUUAGCUAGUUGGUGGGGUAAAGGCCUACCAAGGCGACGAUCCUUAGCUGGUCUGAGAGGAUGAUCAGCCACACUGGGACUGAGACACGGCCCAGACUCCUACGGGAGGCAGCAGUGGGAAUAUUGGACAAUGGGACGAAAGCCUGGAUCCAGCAAUGACCGCGUGAGUGAUGAAGGCCUUAGGGUUGUAAAGUCUACUUUUACCCGGGAAGAUAAGUGUAACUGUAACCCGGGAGAACUAACGGCCCCGGACUAACCGUCCGCGCCCGAGCACG
This 460-nucleotide ribosomal RNA is filed under the name uncultured soil bacterium. Its description in RNAcentral is "bacterial SSU rRNA". It matches the Rfam family "Bacterial small subunit ribosomal RNA", at positions 26 to 505 of the family's 1533-position model. The record is from RNAcentral.